AUACUUACCUGACAGGGAAGAUACCAUGGUCAUGGAGGUGGAUUUCCCAGGGCGAGGCUUAUCCACUGCACUCCAGAUGUGCUGAGCCCUGGGAUUUCCCCAAAUGUGGGGAACUCGACUGCAUCAUUGGUGAUAGUGGGGGACUGCGUUCGCGCUCUCCCCGA
RNAcentral lists this small nuclear RNA (164 nucleotides) under Tupaia belangeri chinensis (Chinese tree shrew). RNAcentral's name for it is "Tupaia chinensis (Chinese tree shrew) U1 spliceosomal RNA". It matches the Rfam family "U1 spliceosomal RNA". Rfam says of the family: U1 is a small nuclear RNA (snRNA) component of the spliceosome (involved in pre-mRNA splicing). Its 5' end forms complementary base pairs with the 5' splice junction, thus defining the 5' donor site of an intron. The record is from Rfam by way of RNAcentral. Lineage: Eukaryota; Metazoa; Chordata; Mammalia; Scandentia; Tupaiidae.